This 305-nucleotide ribosomal RNA is filed under the name uncultured Bacillota bacterium. RNAcentral describes it as "uncultured Firmicutes bacterium partial 16S ribosomal RNA". The record is from RNAcentral. Lineage: Bacteria; Bacillati; Bacillota.
GGAGUUUGGGCCGUUCUCAGUCCCAAUGUGGCUGUUUCGCCUCUCAGCGCAGCUACGCAUCAUCGACUUGGUGGGCCGUUACCUCACCAACUAUCUAAUGCGCCGCAGGCUCCUCCCAAAGUGACACAAUUGCGUCUUUCAAAAGUUAUCAUGCGAUAUCUUCUAUUAUCCGGUAUUAUCAGCCGUUUCCAGCUGUUAUCCCAAUCUUUAGGACAGAUUGCCUACGUGUUACUCACCCGUUCGCCACUAGAAGCCGAAGCUUCCCGUUUGACUUGCAUGUAUUAGGCAUGCCGCCAGCGUUAAUC